UCCCCCGUAGUGUAGCCGGCCAACACGCGGACCGCACCGGUCCGAACCUCGAGUUCGAGCCUCGACGGGGGCC
Molecule: transfer RNA, 73 nt
Filed under: Natronococcus sp. JC468
Lineage: Archaea; Methanobacteriati; Methanobacteriota; Halobacteria; Halobacteriales; Natrialbaceae
Description: tRNA-Val
Source: RNAcentral